Molecule: ribosomal RNA, 246 nt
Filed under: uncultured bacterium
Lineage: Bacteria
Description: partial 16S ribosomal RNA
Rfam family: Bacterial small subunit ribosomal RNA
Source: RNAcentral
AUGCUACCGGGCGACCGGAUGCGGAUCUCGAAAGCCUGUCCCAGUUCGGACUGGAGUCUGCAACCCGACUCCACGAAGUUGGAUUCGCUAGUAAUCGCGCAUCAGCCAUGGCGCGGUGAAUACGUUCCCGGGCCUUGUACACACCGCCCGUCAAGCCAUGGGAGCCGGGGGGCGCCUGAAGUCCGGGACCGCGAGGACCGGCCUAGGGCGAAACUGGUAACUGGGGCUAAGUCGUAACAAGGUAGC